CCCAAAAGAGGGGGAAAACACUUUCAAAAAGGUGCUAAUACCGCAUAACCAUAGUUACCGCAUGGUAACUAUGUAAAAGGUGGCUAUGCUACCGCUUUUGGAUGGGCCCGCGACGCAUUAGCUAGUUGGUGGGGUAAAGGCUUACCAAGGCAAUGAUGCGUAGCCGAACUGAGAGGUUGAUCGGCCACAUUGGGACUGAGACACGGCCCAAACUCCUACGGGAGGCAGCAGUAGGGAAUCUUCCACAAUUUUUUUUAGCCUGAUGGAGCAACGCCGCGUGGGUGAAGAAGGUCUUCGGAUCGUAAAAUUUUUUUGUUAGAGAAGAAAGUGCGUGAGAGUAACUGUUCACGUUUCGACGGUAUCUAACCAGAAAGCCACGGCUAACUACGUGCCAGCAGCCGCGGUAAUACGUAGGUGGCAAGCGUUAUCCGGACUUAUUGGGCGUAAAGGGAACGCAGGCGGUCUUUUAAGUCUGAUGUGAAAGCCUUCGG
This 491-nucleotide ribosomal RNA is filed under the name uncultured bacterium. Its description in RNAcentral is "bacterial SSU rRNA". It matches the Rfam family "Bacterial small subunit ribosomal RNA", at positions 129 to 607 of the family's 1533-position model. The record is from RNAcentral.